CUAACGGCAGCCGGCUAAAGAAGCAGCAGAGACGCGAAGUUAGAAUACUUUUUUAGUUUUCAAAGUGAAUUUCGGAUCUUUUCUAGUCAAAACAGUGUUGCAGAUUGUUGAAACAGUAGCGACCUUAACCAGAGAAGUUUUGCCUGUUGUACAGGCCAGGUUUUUAUUCCACCCGGGAGAGUUUCCCGACCAUCGAGGGAUAACGAAGUUUCAUUAUUUCGUGUGCACGUGUGAGGAGACGCGCGUGCACGAGGACAUCGGACGGCGAGCUUUGCCCAAGGAUUUCGCGCUUUAAGAGGGUGAGACAACGUCACAACCGGCUCGAAGGGACACGGUUUGAACUUUAUUUUUCCUACUGGAAGACUAUCUUACUUUUAUGGUGGUGGGAUUGUGCAAUUACCUCAUUCAUUGAUUAAAUGAAUGAGGACUGAACGGAACAUUGAACUGAAUCAUAUAUGGACAUCCUACGUGAUGUACUUUUCAUUAUUGAAUUCUUGUGCCAUGUUGUUUAUAUGGUUUGAGUUUAUUUAGUUUAUUUUCAGCUGCAUUCUGAAAGAACACUUAUUUAAAAGGUCAGUAAUUCAAGAAAGGCGCUAUAGUAAGAGUUGCAGACUCUUUCAGAUUGAGUUACUGAAGGGAAGAAGGUAAAUAGUUUAGUGAAUCUAAUUAUCAAUCCAAGAGUAAGUGUACAGACCGGUCUUAGGAAAAAAAGAAACAUCUAGUUGACAAAACUAAUUAAAACUAGGAUAGUAAUUACCAAAACCUGUCCUAGAUCUAAAAAGGGAAAGGGAAGAGGGGAAGUUGUCAUUUUGCUACUAUUGUGUGUAUGUGUAAUUGUGUGUGAUUGUAUGUGUAAAUUUCAGUAAAAUUGCCGGCUAUAAA
Long non-coding RNA from Brienomyrus brachyistius, 882 nucleotides. RefSeq lists it as uncharacterized. The transcript has 2 exons. Lineage: Eukaryota; Metazoa; Chordata; Actinopteri; Osteoglossiformes; Mormyridae. The record is from RefSeq and is a predicted model, not a curated record.